GGAGCUGAGCCUCAAGUAAAAGCUUCCAGAAGAAAAGUCCGGAUACCAGAGACAAAAAGAAACACGAGACAGAACAGAAAGGGCAACAGCAGUCGCCCAAUUCUUCACACAGAAAGGCCAAAGUACAGAUGCAGCUUCAUCUUCAGCAGCCCCGUCUCCCCCCAUAACCCUCCACCAAUGGACCAGUCCAAAUGACGGAGGAGGUGAUGGGAGAAGUGGAAGAGGAGCGUUGGAGAGAACAGAAAACUGUCUGUGAGUGAACAGAAAUGACUGAAACUGGGAUCCAGUCAUCUUUUCAUGGACAAUUAUUACUCAACAUGGAUUUUUGCUGCAGAGGAUACUGUGAAAGACCGCCAUGAAACCAAGAAAAAUCGUUGUGUUUCCUGCCAGGAUUCUUUCAUAAGAGCAUGUGGUCCAUCAAAGUGC
Long non-coding RNA from Plectropomus leopardus (leopard coralgrouper), 426 nucleotides. RefSeq lists it as uncharacterized. NCBI's taxonomy places the organism in Eukaryota, Metazoa, Chordata, Actinopteri, Perciformes, Serranidae. The record is from RefSeq and is a predicted model, not a curated record.